Molecule: transfer RNA, 58 nt
Filed under: Gerbilliscus leucogaster (Bushveld gerbil)
Lineage: Eukaryota; Metazoa; Chordata; Mammalia; Rodentia; Muridae
Description: tRNA-Ser
Source: RNAcentral
AAGAAAGAAAACAAGAGCUGCUAACUCAUGUACCCAUAUAUAAAAAUAUGGCUUUCUU